UACUAAUAAUUGCCUAAUAUUUGAGUAUUUCUCAUGCGAGUGCAGGGGUAGCAGUUGGAGCUGGAUGGCAAUAUUCAGUCGCGAUUAUAAACCUCGUUUGCUACUAUAUAGUUGGCCUUCCAUUGGGUGCCUGCCUUGGUUAUAUUGCUAAUCUAGGUGUUAAUGGAAUUUGGACCGGGAUGCUCGUUGGUACCCUGCUUCAAACUAUAGUUUUGGCGUUCAAAAUGUGGAAAGCUAAUUGGAGAACAGAGGCAAUUCACGCUGAAGAGCGCAUCAGAACAUAUGGCGACCAGCCUACUCAAGAUGGGAUUGAGCAAAUUGAUUCGCAUAGUACCUCGCCUAUGCCAGUAGUAACAUGACAGUAAGAGCAAAUGGGAAUAAACACAGGCCCUUAAAGUAGAGCAUACAAGAAAUGGAUAGGUAUAAUGUAGUAAAAACCGUUCCUAGUGGAAAAUUUUGUAUUAGAUUUGUUCAGGACUGCAAUAAUAAUUCGGUCACAAAUUGACCUGAUUGCAAGUCUUAUAUUUUCUUUCUUACUUUAUACCUGGUGUUUAACCAACGUGAUAAGUGCUGCAAUGGCUCGAGACUCUAACCAUGAAGAUGCAAAGGAUUGUUU
Molecule: long non-coding RNA, 616 nt
Organism: Lycium ferocissimum
Lineage: Eukaryota; Viridiplantae; Streptophyta; Magnoliopsida; Solanales; Solanaceae
Exons: 2
Source: RefSeq, a predicted model, not a curated record